RNAcentral lists this long non-coding RNA (1956 nucleotides) under Gallus gallus (chicken). Lineage: Eukaryota; Metazoa; Chordata; Aves; Galliformes; Phasianidae. The record is from RNAcentral.
CUGAAAUGCAGAAAGCCAUCUGAAUACUCAGAGACAAAUGGGAACAGCUGCUGGCAUACCAAAGUGUGGCACUGAAGGAGGCAGUCUGCAGGCGUAGCCGGGGUGGCAAGAACAUGGUCUGCCAAGGAACUUCUUCUGGAUACGUCAUAAAGCAGGAAAAGGAUGCUGUUCUUGAUAUUGUCAGUGGAGAAGUCCAGUCUGGGGCCAAAACCACAAAAGUGAAGCCUUACAAAACCAGAAAACCAAGCAGAAAGAUCUUCAGCUGAUAAUGCCCUCUUUCCUCAGUAUGCAGACAGCAUUUUCCUUGAUAGAUGUAUGCAUUCCUGUGGAAAAGACUCCACCAUUCUGCUGACAUCUGAUGCUUGACAGUAGAGCACAACAGAUUGGAAGAGGAUUUCUGUACAGUCUGUGUUGGUGAGUGGUGAUCAGAUAUUCUCAAGGUCAAACAACCGAAUAACAAAUCAGCAAUACCCAUAUUUUAUUGAGCAGUAGUGAAACCCUACUGUUAGAAAGCUGAGGAACUGAUAUGACAGUUACAGAACUUUUAGUUUAUUCUGCUCUGCACAGAAUGCAUUAAGACUGUAUUUCUAGUCUUGCAAUGGAGAUGAGGAAAGGUAAAGAGGUUGUGUUCAUUUUUCUUUCUGUUCUUGUCUUUGUGUCCUGUUUAAGCAUUUCUCCUGGUUCUGGUUUUGAAGUGAUAGCAGGAUACCAGCACGUUUUGUAUAUUUGCACAGUUGAGGAAUAAGUGUCUCAUUUCUUGAGGCUAAGAUUUCCUGGGGUAAAAGAAGGAGCACGGAGCAUUUUGCAGUACCACUGUUAAACUGCUGCCAUCUGGCCUUUAAGCCACUGACUGCUAUGCCUUGAGCCCCACUGUAGUCCACCCAUCCAGUCCACACUGCCCUGCAAUGAUACCUUCCUGGUGCAGAAGAGUGGAAGGAAAAGUGGAACAAGCACAGGCACUGAUAGAACUGGAGCGGAGGAACAGCUGCUGCGAGGCAGUGUGAGCAGUAAUGGAGGGUGGAGGCAGAGCGGUUUGAUAGGCAGCCUGACAGGCAGUUCAGCCAAAGAGGCUUUUUUGUAGUGGGGUUAGAGGAUGGUGGUUGUAAACACAGAUGUAAAUCAGAAGAGAGAUAGAAGUUAAAGAUCAAAGGAAAGAGCAGGGAACGAGGGAACGUAGGAAGAUAGAUAAGGGAUGGAAAAUCUAAAAAUGCUAAAAUGAUUAGGUAUCAAGGAGUUGGACAGCUUCGAUCUGUGAUAAAUCAACAAGGUUCAAGAUGAACCUUGCAAAAUCAUUAGCUCCAAAACCUUGCAAGAUGAACCUUGCAAGAUGAAAUUGCAAAAUCAUUAGGUCCAAAUUUCUCCUAUGUGAUGCAAAUAUGCAGAGACCUGUGUGUGAGACAUUUUGCUACCAAGCUGCCUCUUAGGAGUGAGUAUCUGAAACUGGAAGGGAUUUAUCUAACAGAAGUUCAGAUGCUGCGGGGCAUAUUAGGUGAAUUAAUAUGCACAACAUUGCAUCUUCUCUUCUAAAUUAAUAAACAUCACGUUCAUUUCUUUUUUACUAAUUGAAUGUUUAACUUGUUUGUCUAAGGCCGGUGAUAGGUCAGUAGGAGGUUAGGAAUAGAUAUUGCUUGUUUUCUCCAGAGCCCUGAACCAUUGCUGGGUUUCAUAUUUCCUCCAGCCUGUCUCAGUGCAAUACUGUUUUGCAGACAGAUGAAAGAGUUUCUUUCAUUACUGAAACAAAAGGCCAAGUAAAGAGUUAGGAAACUGAUAAUUAUAUACUAGCUUUUUCCCCAAGGGCAAAAGAAAAAAAAUCAAUGUGUUGCAGGGUUUUUUUUUUAUCUUUCUUCAGUCUAAUUAGUGACUUAAUGGCAAGAAAAUUAGUAUACAUAUUUUCUUUUCAGGCCUUUACCCUGGAUGAAUUUUUUAGCUAGAGGAUACUUGCUCUGUACAUGAUUC